Molecule: ribosomal RNA, 526 nt
Filed under: uncultured eukaryote
Lineage: Eukaryota
Description: SSU rRNA
Rfam family: Eukaryotic small subunit ribosomal RNA
Source: RNAcentral
UUAAAAAGCUCGUAGUUGGAUUUCUGUCGAGGGCGGGCGGUCCGCACUAUGUGCGUGUAUCUUGUUCGGUCUUGGCAUCCUCUUGGGGAAUGCUUCUGUGCUUGAUUGCAUGGGGUGGAAUUCAAGACUUUUACUUUGAGGAAAUUAGAGUGCUCACGGCAAGCUACCGCUUUGAAUACAUUAGCAUGGAAUAAUAAUAUAGGGCGUAAGUUCUAUUUUGUUGGUUUCUAGGACAUACGCAAUGAUUAAUAGGGACAAUUGGGGGCAUUCGUAUUAACGCGUCAGAGGUGGAAUUCUUAGAUUGCGUUACGACGAACUACUGCGAAAGCAUUUGCCAAAGAUGUUUUCAUUGAUCAAGAACGAAAGUAUGGGGAUCGAAGACGAUUAGAUACCGUCGUAGUCUAUACCAUAAACUAUGCCAAUUAGAGAUUGGGCGUCGUUCCGUUUUAUGACUCGCUCAGCACCUUUAUGAGAAAUCAAAAUUUUUUGGGUUCCCGGGGGGAGUAUGGUCGCAAGGCUGAAACUU